Molecule: RNA transcript, 2599 nt
Organism: Rhododendron vialii
Lineage: Eukaryota; Viridiplantae; Streptophyta; Magnoliopsida; Ericales; Ericaceae
Gene name: dammarenediol II synthase-like
Exons: 20
Source: RefSeq, a predicted model, not a curated record
CUCUCUCUGCCUAUUUAUAUAUAUAGCAUUGCCCAACUCUUAUCCCUCCAACCCCAACCCCAAUCCCUCUCUCUAGCUAUUUGUCUGUUUAUUAUUUCUACCUCAAAUUUCCAGCUGAGGGAAUCCACACUCCGCACUUCACAGCUUCUCUCAAUCAGAGAACUAAGAAGAUAAAGAUGUGGAAGCUCAAAAUUGCAGAAGGUAAUGGGCCCUACUUAUAUAGCACAAACAACUUUGUUGGUAGACAAAUUUGGGAGUUCGACCCAGAUGCCGGCACCCCAGAAGAGCGAGCUGCAAUUGAAAAGGCAAGAGAGGAAUACAAACAAAUUUUCAAAAAGGAUCGAGCUCGGGCUUUGCCUUGUGCUGAUCUUCUAAUGCGGAUGCAGUUUAAAAAGGAAAACAGUCAUAUCGAUCUAAGCAUACCACCAGUGAGGCUAGGGGACAAAGAAGAAGUAACCUACGAAGCCACCACGACAGCUUUAAGAAAAGCCGUCCGAUUAAAUCGCGCAAUCCAAGCCCCCGACGGCCAUUGGGCCGCAGAAAAUGCAGGCCCAAUGUUUUUUACUCCACCCCUGGUCAUUGUCCUAUACAUAAGUGGAGCAAUCAACUCCAUCUUUACAGCAGAGCACAGAAAGGAACUGAAACGUUAUAUUUAUCUCCAUCAGAAUGAUGAUGGGGGAUGGGGAUUUUACAUAGAGGGGCAUAGCACGAUGAUUGGGUCAGCACUUAGCUACGUUGCUCUGCGCUUGUUGGGGGAAGGCCCAGAUGAUGGAGAAGGUGGGGCGAUGUCCAAAGCCCGGAAAUGGAUACUUGACAAUGGUGGUGCAACUGGGAUACCCUCUUGGGGAAAAACUUAUCUCUCGGUGCUUGGAGUGUAUGAAUGGGCAGGCUGCAACCCAUUACCCCCAGAAUUUUGGCUUUUCCCUUCUUUUUUGCCUUAUCAUCCAGCAAAAAUGUGGUGCUAUUGUCGAACAACUUAUAUGCCAAUGUCAUACUUAUAUGGGAGGAAGUAUCACGGGCCAAUAACCGAUCUAGUCAAGGCAAUUAGACAAGAAAUCCACACGAAGCCAUACGAGGAGAUAAAUUGGAACAAAGCACGGCAUCAUUGUUGUAAGGAGGAUCUCUAUUAUGAGCAUACCUUCGUACAGGAUCUCCUUUGGGAUACACUUCAUUAUUUGAGUGAGCCGAUCAUGAACCGUUGGCCCUUCAACAAGAUCAGAGAUAGAGCCAUUAAGAAGACAGUUAAGUAUCUACGUUAUGGAGCAGAGAAUAGCAGAUACAUCACCAUAGGAUGUGUUGAGAAGAGUUUGCAAAUGAUGUGUUGGUGGGCUGAAAACCCGAAUGGUGAUGAAUUCAAGCACCAUCUCGCUCGAGUUCCUGAUUACAUGUGGCUUGCUGAAGAUGGAAUGAAAAUGCAGAGUUUUGGAAGCCAAAUAUGGGACACUACUCUUGCCACUCAGGCACUUAUAGCAAGCAAUAUGGUCGAAGAGUGUGGGGAUGCACUUAAGAAGUCGCACUUCUACAUAAAAGAAUCACAGAUCAAAGAAAAUCCAGCUGGGGAUUUCUCAAGUAUGUAUCGCCAAUUUACUAAAGGAGCAUGGACUUUCUCUGAUCAAGAUCAAGGUUGGGUUGUCUCAGACUGUACAGCUGAGUCACUUAAGUGUCUACUAAUUUUUUCGCAAAUGCCUCCUGAAAUUGCUGGGGAGAAAGCCGACACUCAAAGGUUAUAUGAGGCAGUGAAUGUCCUCCUAUAUUUACAGCACCCUGAAAGUGGUGGAUUUGCUAUUUGGGAGGUGGUUGUUCCAUUACCAGCUUUGCAGGCAUUGAAUCCUUCAGAAUUGUUUGCUGACAUUGUCGUCGAAACUGAGCAUGUGGAGUGUACUGCCUCUAUAAUCCAGGCUCUGCUAAUGUUCAAGCACUUACAUCCGGGGCAUCGGGAGAAAGAAAUAGAGGUUUCUGUGGCAAAAGCAAUUCGUUUCCUUGAGGGCAGACAGUGGCCUGAUGGUUCUUGGUAUGGAUACUGGGGAAUUUGUUUCAUCUACGGGACAUUCUUUGUGCUAGGAGGGUUAGCUUCAGCUGGAAGGACGUAUAACAACUGCCAAGCAGUUCGGAGAGGGGUUGAAUUUUUGCUUAAUUCACAAAAUGAAGAGGGAGGCUGGGGAGAGAGCCUUGAAUCAUGCCCAUCUAUGAAAUACCAACCUCUGGAAGGAAACCGAACCAACUUGGUACAGACAUCAUGGGCUAUGCUUGGUCUCAUUCAUGGUGGACAGGCUGAGAGAGAUCCAACACCUUUACAUAAAGCAGCAAAGCUAUUGAUUAAUGCACAAAUGGAUGAUGGUGAUUUUCCACAACAGGAACAAACUGGAGUCUACAUGAAGAAUUGCAUGCUGCAUUAUGCACAGUACAGAAACAUAUUCCCAAUGUGGGCCCUUGGAGAAUACCGCAAGCAUGUUUGGCCUUCUUGCUAGAAAGUGUGAAAUCCAACUUUCUCUCUCCCUAAAGUAUAAAUUGGAGACAUAGUUUAUGUAACAACUGUGUCAAUCCCUGUGGCCACGUCGAAAAUUGUAUUCCAAUAAGAAAAAAUGCAGGAUUUAUGGAA